This 471-nucleotide ribosomal RNA is filed under the name uncultured bacterium. Its description in RNAcentral is "SSU rRNA". It matches the Rfam family "Bacterial small subunit ribosomal RNA", at positions 26 to 518 of the family's 1533-position model. The record is from RNAcentral.
AGGAUGAACGCUGGCGGCGUGCCUAACACAUGCAAGUCGAACGUCCUGUCUCGCAAGAGGCAGGGAGUGGCGGACGGGUGAGUACCACGUGGGUCAUCUACCGUGAGGUGAGGAAUACCGGCGAGAAAUCGCCGACAAAACCGCAUAGGCUCGAUGCAAGUCGAGCAAAGCUCGCUCGCAAGAGGGAGCGCCACACGAGGAGCCUGCGCCCGAUUAGCUGGCUGGUGGAGUAAUGGUUCACCAGGGCGACGAUCGGUAGCUGGUCUGAGAGGACGAUCAGCCACACUGGGAUUGAGAACGGCCCAGACUCCUACGGGGGGCAGCAGUGAGGAAUUUUCGUCAAUGGGGGCAACCCUGAACGAGCAACGCCGCGUGCAGGAAGAAGGUUUUCGGAUCGUAAACUGCUUUUCUCGGGAAGAGAACGGACGGUACCCGAGGAAGAAGCCCGGCUAACUACGUGCCAGCAGCCGC